UGCCCUUCCAUCCCAUUAUUAGAAGGAACCUCCUCUCUCAGAUGAGGCAACCUACAGCAGGCAAGGGGAGCUUCAGCCUAGAAAAUGCAGUGAAAAAGUGUGAAGCAAGAUUUCUGUAAGUACUCCAUCCCCAUGGAUGCCUCUGUGAUCGUGAGAAAAGAAGACUGUGGUGAACUGAAGAGGCAUGACUCUGCUUCAGUGACAGAAUCUAUAGGAUGACAACUUCUCAAUUAUAAACAGAGCACAGGAAGAUAUGCUUAGGAGGCAGUUCUUUCAGAUGAGCUAAUUAAGAAUGUUCUGGCUUUUUUUGUGUGUGCACCCAAGUGAACAGCACUAUUAAGGCAGAGGGAACUAGACAGUUGUUAAGUACCAUUCACAGUUCGUUCAGGUGAUUAAGUUUGGUUCCAAGACAAUGGUUCAAACUCAGCAUGAAAGCAUUUAAUUCAG
This 447-nucleotide long non-coding RNA is filed under the name Numida meleagris (helmeted guineafowl). RNAcentral's name for it is "lncRNA (ENSNMEG00000013010.1)". Lineage: Eukaryota; Metazoa; Chordata; Aves; Galliformes; Numididae. The record is from RNAcentral.